AACCUUUACACUGCACGACAGUGCGAUAGGGGGACUCCGAGUGCGGGGGCAUAGAGCCCUCGCUUUUGUAUACCGUAAGGUGGUGUACGAAUAAGAACUGGGCAAGACCGGUGCCAGCCGCCGCGGUAAUACCGGCAGUUCGAGUGAUGGCCGAUUUUAUUGGGCCUAAAGCGUUCGUAGCUGGCCGAUCAAGUCUGUCGGGAAAUCUGCUCGCCUAACGAGCAGGCGUCCGGCGGAAACUGAUCGGCUUGGGACCGGAAGACUCGAGGGGUACGUCCGGGGUAGGAGUGAAAUCCUGUAAUCCUGGACGGACCACCGAUGGCGAAAGCACCUCGAGAGCACGGAUCCGACAGUGAGGAACGAAAGCUGGGGUCUCGAACCGGAUUAGAUACCCGGGUAGUCCCAGCUGUCAACGAUGCCCGCUAGGUAUGGCGCAGGCUACGAGCCUGUGCUAUGCCGUAGCGAAGGCGCUAAGCGGGCCGCCUGGGAAGUACGUUCGCAAGAAUGAAACUUAA
Molecule: ribosomal RNA, 515 nt
Filed under: uncultured archaeon
Lineage: Archaea
Description: bacterial SSU rRNA
Rfam family: Archaeal small subunit ribosomal RNA
Source: RNAcentral